Molecule: ribosomal RNA, 786 nt
Filed under: uncultured bacterium
Lineage: Bacteria
Description: bacterial SSU rRNA
Rfam family: Bacterial small subunit ribosomal RNA
Source: RNAcentral
GGGCGUAAAGAGCUCGUAGGUGGUUUGUCGCGUCGUCUGUGAAAUUCCGGGGCUUAACUCCGGGCGUGCAGGCGAUACGGGCAUAACUUGAGUGCUGUAGGGGAGACUGGAAUUCCUGGUGUAGCGGUGAAAUGCGCAGAUAUCAGGAGGAACACCGAUGGCGAAGGCAGGUCUCUGGGCAGUAACUGACGCUGAGGAGCGAAAGCAUGGGUAGCGAACAGGAUUAGAUACCCUGGUAGUCCAUGCCGUAAACGGUGGGCGCUAGGUGUAGGGGACUUCCACGUCUUCUGUGCCGUAGCUAACGCAUUAAGCGCCCCGCCUGGGGAGUACGGCCGCAAGGCUAAAACUCAAAGGAAUUGACGGGGGCCCGCACAAGCGGCGGAGCAUGUGGAUUAAUUCGAUGCAGCGCGAAGAACCUUACCUGGGCUUGACAUACACCGGACCGGCGCAGAGAUGCGUCUUCCCUUGUGGCCGGUGUACAGGUGGUGCAUGGUUGUCGUCAGCUCGUGUCGUGAGAUGUUGGGCUAAGUCCCGUAACGAGCGCAACCCUUGUCUUAUGUUGCCAGCACGUUGUGGUGGGGACUCAUGAGAGACUGCCGGGGUCAACUCGGAGGAAGGUGGGGAUGACGUCAAAUCAUCAUGCCCCUUAUGUCCAGGGCUUCACACAUGCUACAAUGGUCGGUACAGUAGGUCGCGAACCCGUGAGGGUGAGCCAAUCCUGUGAAAGCCGGCCUCAGUUCGGAUUGGGGUCUGCAACUCGACCCCAUGAAGUCGGAGUCGCUAGUA